RNAcentral lists this ribosomal RNA (253 nucleotides) under uncultured bacterium. Its description in RNAcentral is "partial 16S ribosomal RNA". It matches the Rfam family "Bacterial small subunit ribosomal RNA", at positions 524 to 776 of the family's 1533-position model. The record is from RNAcentral.
GACGAACCGUGCAAACGUUGUUCGGAAUCACUGGGCUUAAAGGGCGCGUAGGCGGCGAAUCAAGUCCGGGGUGAAAUCUUUCGGCUCAACCGGAAAAGGGCCUUGGAUACUGGUUCGCUCGAGGGAGGUAGGGGCAUGUGGAACUUCCGGUGGAGCGGUGAAAUGCGUUGAUAUCGGAAGGAACGCCGGUGGCGAAAGCGACGUGCUGGACCUCUACUGACGCUGAUGCGCGAAAGCCAGGGGAGCAAACGGG